AAUCUACCCUUGAGAUGGGGAUAGCCGUUAGAAAUAGCGGGUAAUACCGAAUACACUUAUUAUUUCACAAGAGAUAGUAAGGAAAGGAAGCUACGGCUUCGCUCGAGGAUGAGCCUGCGUCCCAUUAGCUAGUUGGUGAGGUAACGGCUCACCAAGGCAACGAUGGGUAUCCGGCCUGAGAGGGUGAUCGGACACAUUGGGACUGAGAUACGGCCCAAACUCCUACGGGAGGCAGCAGCUAAGAAUAUUCCGCAAUGGACGGAAGUCUGACGGAGCGACGCCGCGUGGAUGAAGAAGGCUGAAAAGUUGUAAAAUCCUUUUGUUGAUGAAGAAUAAAGGUAAGAGGGAAUGCUUAUCUGAUGACGGUAAUCGGCGAAUAAGCCCCGGCUAAUUACGUGCCAGCAGCCGCGGUAACACGUAAGGGGCGAGCGUUGUUCGGAAUUAUUGGGCGUAAAGGGCAUGUAGGCGGUUGUGUAAGCCUGAUGUGAAAUCCUGGGGCUUAACCCUAGAACAGCAUUGGGUACUGCAUAACUUGAAUUACGGAAGGGAAACUGGAAUUCCAAGUGUAGGGGUGGAAUCUGUAGAUAUUUGGAAGAACACCGGUGGCGAAGGCGGGUUUCUGGCCGAUAAUUGACGCUGAGAUGCGAAAGUGUGGGGAUCGAACAGGAUUAGAUACCCUGGUAGUCCACACCGUAAACGAUGUACACUAGGUGUUGGGGUACGAACCUCAGUGCCGAAGCAAACGUGAUAAGUGUACCGCCUGGGGAGUAUGCCCGCAAGGGUGAAACUCAAAGGAAUUGACGGGGGCCCGCACAAGCGGUGGAGCAUGUGGUUUAAUUCGAUGGUACGCGAGGAACCUUACCUGGGUUUGACAUCUAGCGGAGUACUUUAGAGAUAAGGUAGUGUAGCAAUACACCGCUAGACAGGUGCUGCAUGGCUGUCGUCAGCUCGUGCCGUGAGGUGUUGGGUUAAGUCCCGCAACGAGCGCAACCCCUACUGCCAGUUACUAACAGGUAAAGCUUGAGGACUCUGGCGGAACUGCCGAUGACAAAUCGGAGGAAGGUGGGGAUGACGUCAAGUCAUCAUGGCCCUUAUGUCCAGGGCUACACACGUGCUACAAUGGUUGCUACAAAGCGAAGCGACACCGUGAGGUUGAGCAAACCGCAAAAAAGCAAUCGUAGUUCGGAUUGAAGUCUGAAACUCGACUUCAUGAAGUUGGAAUCGCUAGUAAUCGCGCAUCAGCACGGCGC
RNAcentral lists this ribosomal RNA (1250 nucleotides) under uncultured Treponema sp. RNAcentral's name for it is "bacterial SSU rRNA". It matches the Rfam family "Bacterial small subunit ribosomal RNA", at positions 123 to 1360 of the family's 1533-position model. The record is from RNAcentral. Lineage: Bacteria; Pseudomonadati; Spirochaetota; Spirochaetia; Treponematales; Treponemataceae.